AACAAAAUAUAGCUCAUGACCUCAACCUAUGUAAUUAUAUAAGUAUAACUUAAAUAAAUCAUUUACCCUUAUUAAAGUAUAGGCGAUAGAAAUAAUAUCUGACGCUAUAGAGAAAGUACCGCAAGGGAAUAGCUGAAAGAAAAUUUUCAAGUAAUAAAUAGCAAAGCUUAAUUCUUGUACCUUUUGCAUAAUGACUCAACUAGAAAGUAUUAGCAAAGAGGAUUGAAGUUAACUCACCCGAAACCAGACGAGCUACCUGUUAGCAGCCUAAAGGGCACACCCGUCUAUGUAGCAAAAUAGUGGGAUGACUAUAAGGUAGAGGUGAUAAGCCUAUCGAGCCUGGUGAUAGCUGGUUGUCCAGAACAGAAUUUUAGUUCUAACUUAAACUUACAAAAAAAGAUAAUAAAUUAAAAUGUAAGUUUUAGAAAUAGUCUAAAAGGGUACAGCCUUUUAGACAAAGGAUACAACCUUUGUUGGAGAGUAAGAAUAAAUUAAACCACAAUAGUUGGCCUAAAAGCAGCCACCAAACAAGAAGGCGUUCAAGCCCAACAGCACACAAAAAUUAAUACUAAUAAUACAAUUAAUACUCCCAAUGUAAAACUGGACUAUUCUAUUUAUAAAUAGAAGCAAUAAUGUUGAUAUGAGUAAUAAGAAAUAAUUCUCCUUGCACAUGUGUAUAUCAGAACGAAUAGACCACUGAUAAUUAACAAAACAGAUAUAAUCAACCAACAGAUCCUCUAUUAUUAAUUGUUAGCCCAACACAGGAGUGCAACCAAGGAAAGAUUUAAAAAAGUAAAAGGAACUAGGCAAACACAAACCCCGCCUGUUUACCAAAAACACCACCUCUAGCAUAAAAAGUAUUAGAGGCCCUGCCUGCCCAGUGACUCUGGUUUAACGGCCGCGGUAUCCUGACCGUGCAAAGGUAGCAUAAUCACUUGCUCCCUAAAUAGGGGCUCGUAUGAAUGGCUCCACGAGGGUUUAACUGUCUCUUACUUUAAAUCAAUGAAAUUGACACCCUCGUGAAGAGGCGAGGAUUGAAAAAUAAGACGAGAAGACCCUAUGGAGCUUUAAUUAGCUAACUUAUAUAUUAAUAAUCUCCCUCUACAAGGACCAAAAUUGUUUAAACUAAGUUAGUAAUUUGGGUUGGGGUGACCUCGGAAUAAAAUAAAACUCCCGAGAAAAUAUAUCAAGACCCAUAAGUCAAAAUUAUUACAUUACACACUGAUCCGCCACUUGGCGAUCAACGGAACAAGUUACCCUAGGGAUAACAGCGCAAUCCUAUUUAAGAGUCCAUAUCGACAAUUAGGGUUUACGACCUCGAUGUUGGAUCAGGACAUCCCAAUGGUGCAGCAGCUAUUAAUGCGUUCGUUUGUUCAACGAUUAAAGUCCUACGUGAUCUGAGUUCAGACCGGAGCAAUCCAGGUCGGUUUCUAUCUAUUUAUAAGCCUCCCCCAGUACGAAAGGACAAGAGAGGCGGGGCCUACUUAAAACAUAAGCGCCUUAAUAAACAGAUGAGCUAAUAUUAAUCCCCCCCCCCC
Molecule: ribosomal RNA, 1538 nt
Filed under: Thainycteris aureocollaris (Collared sprite)
Lineage: Eukaryota; Metazoa; Chordata; Mammalia; Chiroptera; Vespertilionidae
Description: Arielulus aureocollaris (Collared sprite) partial 16S ribosomal RNA
Rfam family: Bacterial large subunit ribosomal RNA
Source: RNAcentral